UUCAUUUUUGUCGAGCCUUCGACUUUAGUCGAAAAAGCGAGACAUAGCGAUCCUACAUUCCGUCGGCGUCGGCGUCGUCGUCGUCGGCGGCGUCCACAAAAAUUCACUCUGUGGUUAAAGUUUUUGAAAUUUUAAUAACUUUCUUAAACUAUCCUUGAAUUGUACGAAACUUGGACAGAAGCUUGUUUAUGUUCAUAAGAUAGUAUCCAGAAG
This 213-nucleotide long non-coding RNA is filed under the name Mytilus galloprovincialis (Mediterranean mussel). Lineage: Eukaryota; Metazoa; Mollusca; Bivalvia; Mytilida; Mytilidae. The record is from RNAcentral.